AUCGAUGUGAAUGUCAGAAAUAUUUACACAAUGUCUGGAAAAGUUUGGGAAAGGCUCAGAAUGGAAUGUGAGCUACCCUGAGUUUGAUUCCCAGCAAAAGCAACAGAAUGUCUGGCCAGCAGCGGAUCCUCCGGUUGCUUACAGAAGAAACUCAAGUUAAACACGUAAGUAGGCUCUAAAGCUUCUUCCCUGGGCCAGAAGCUGGAGUCUGCAUGAUAAGGAAUGCAGAGUGGCUCCUAGCUGACAAUUAACAAGGAAACUGGUUCUUUACCACAAAAAGGAAAGCUAAGAACCCAACCACAUCUUCCUUUCCUCUCUCUAGCCAUGUGAUGUGAGACUUCGCACCUCCAGGACUGAGCUCGCAAACAGGCCUUACUUUAAGCCAUCGGGUGUAUGGUAAUUAGGUGUGCAGCAAUGGGGAGCCAUUGCAAGCUGUAGAGAAUAGGUGUAUCCAUGACAUAGGGUGACUUAAGUCUAGCCCGACCAGGUGCUUGCCUGGGAGUCAGGGCAAGUCAAUUCCUUCAUAGCCAUGUUUUAGAUAUAAUGGCACUAACUGUACAGUGCAAUUAUUACAUAAGUAAUACACUAGCCUAACCUCAGUUCCUCGGCUGAAUCAGGAUCUCUACAGAUAAGAUCUAUUUGCACAUAUAUAAUCUAGAUUUGUUUUUUUUUUUUUUUUAGGGGUUGGCCAAAUGACUUAAUCUGUGGUUUCUCAGUCUCCCAUUCUCAGUUCUCAGAAGAAACAUGUUUAAAAUGUUUUCUUAAAGCAGGUCACCAGGACACAUGCCUACAUGCCUGUAAUCCCAGCAUUGGAAGGCAGAGAAGGAAGGAUCAGAGCUCAUGGUCAUCCUUGGCUAUAUAGUGAAUGCGAAGGCAGCCUGAGCUACACAGAAGAUUGGAGGCUAGUGCAGGCCAUAAUAAAUGUUUUUUGAUAUCACCACAGGAACCUUCAACAAAGCAUACCUAAAAAUUAAUCGUUUUUCUUUCAAAGUUUUUCCUCUCUCUUUUCCUUUUUUAUUUUUUAUUUUUUUGGAGUCCAGGAUCUCACUCAAUAUGGGCCAGGCUGGCCUUAAACUCACCACGUAGACAAGGAUGACCCUGAACUCUGAUCCUUCUGCUUCCCAUCUUUCCUCUCCAGUCUCUUAACUGGUCUUACUCGUUCAUUGUUUUCUAGCUGAAAUCCUGUUUUUCACUGCUUAAAAACAAGCCUUCUUCCACUAGCUCAUGAAGCCUUCCUCCAGCACCUUGCUCAGUGGUUUUUUAUUUGGUUGGCUGGUUUUGUUUUGUUUUUAAGCUUAAGGACAAUUUUACUGUUGUUGAAGAGAAAAAGAGCACAGGUUAGGUAAGAAUACUAGGUAGAGAGAAAAAUCAUGCAUGUUAAGUCAGGCAUGGACGGCUGGGUGUAGUGGCACACACCAUCAGUCCCAGCACUCCUUGAGACAGAGGCAGAAGGAUCUCUGGGAAUUUGAGGCCAUCUUGGUCUACAAAGAGAGCUCCUAGAUAGUCAGGGCUACGCAGAGAGACCCUUCCUCUAAAAAUAACAAAAUAAAAUCUAUAAACGGUAUAGAUUUUAUAGAACCCCAGAAAUGGAGUGAGCCAAGCAAAGAGCCCCAAAAGCUGCUGAAUGUCUUGACUUUCAAUACAUGCAGUCACUUUCAGGAUGUGUUUGGACCUUGCUCUUGGUCUUUGUAACACAUUUGCCUCAGCCUUCCCCUAAUGCCUAUUUAGCCUUGGAACUCACAGCUCAAGUUCUUCUAGAGCAAACCCACUCUGAUAUGCCCUUGUCCACUUUCUUCCAACUCUCUACAAGCAACAGUACCUCACAACACUUGCAAAACUUGAUUGCAAUUGGCUGUUUACCUAAUCUCUUUUUUUGCUAUUUGUAUUCCCAGUCAGUUAGAUAUUAGGCUGAAGUAAAUGCGUAGUGAAUGAGGCUGAUUGGAUGAAUAAAAGAGAACAUUCCUAGCCAUAUCCUAAAGCAAACUUGUCUUUAGUAUCCCUAAAAUCACCUGGUCAAGCUGUGACCUCUACAGGCUAUUUAUGGAAGACUCUAGGAAUUGAUCAAGGUGCUGGGGAUCCAACCCCAGGCCUUGCAUGUACUCAGUGGCACUCUACAGUUACUCCCACAGCCCUUAAGCUCUUUAGGGUCUCCCCUUGAAAGACCCCCUCUUGUGACCACUCAGCUCCUUUCCUGAAGGAACAACAAUAAACCAAAGCAGCAGAGACUUGGGACCAGGGUUUAUGACAGGAGCUUCAGAAUGCUUCCAAUGGGGAAGAAAGGGUGUGGACAAACAUUGUGUGCUUCAUAACCUUGACAGGGUCUCAUGAGACCCAAACUGGCCUCAAAUUCACUGCUGCCAAGAAUGACCUUGAACUAUCCUCUCACUUCCGUGUCCCAAUGGCUAGGAUUCACAGGUGUUUCCCACCAUACCUGGAAGUCUUAAAUUUUGUUUAAAAUCGACAUCUAUAAUGAACAAAAUCUGAAAAUUUUUAAUCUU
Molecule: long non-coding RNA, 2498 nt
Organism: Meriones unguiculatus (Mongolian gerbil)
Lineage: Eukaryota; Metazoa; Chordata; Mammalia; Rodentia; Muridae
Exons: 2
Source: RefSeq, a predicted model, not a curated record